Molecule: ribosomal RNA, 404 nt
Filed under: Verrucomicrobiota bacterium
Lineage: Bacteria; Pseudomonadati; Verrucomicrobiota
Description: Verrucomicrobia bacterium partial 16S ribosomal RNA
Rfam family: Bacterial small subunit ribosomal RNA
Source: RNAcentral
UGGGGAAUAUUGCACAAUGGGGGAAACCCUGAUGCAGCGACGCCGCGUGAGCGAUGAAGGCUUUCGAGUCGUAAAGCUCUGUCCUAUGGGAAGAUAAUGACGGUACCAUAGAAGAAAGCCCCGGCUAAUUACGUGCCAGCAGCCGCGGUAAUACGUAAGGGGCGAGCGUUGUCCGGAUUCAUUGGGCGUAAAGCGCUCGUAGGCGGUCUGUUAGGUCGGCAAGUUAAAUCCGGGGGCUCAACCCCCGUCCGCUUCCGAUACCGGCAGACUUGAGUUUGGUAGGGGAAGGUGGAAUUCCUAGUGUAGCGGUGGAAUGCGCAGAUAUUAGGAAGAACACCGGUGGCGAAGGCGGCCUUCUGGGCCAUAACUGACGCUGAGGAGCGAAAGCUAGGGGAGCGAACAGG